AUUGAACGCUGGCGGCAUGCCUUACACAUGCAAGUCGAACGGCAGCACGGGAGCAAUCCUGGUGGCGAGUGGCGAACGGGUGAGUAAUACAUCGGAACGUGCCCAGCUGCGGGGGAGAACCGGGCGACAGCCGGAAUAAUACCGCAUACGACCAACGGGUGAACGGGGGAGAUCGCAGGACCUCGCGCUAUCGGACGGGCCGAUGUCGGAUUAGCUAGUUGGUGGGGUAAAGGCCUACCAAGGCGACGAUCUGUAGCUGGUCUGAGAGGACGACCAGCCACACUGGAACUGAGACACGGCCCAGACUCCUACGGGAGGCAGCAGUGGGGAAUUUUGGACAAUGGGCGCAAGCCUGAUCCAGCCAUGCCGCGUGCGUGAAGAAGGCCUUCGGGUUGUAAACCGCUUUUGUCAGGGAAGAAACGCUCCGGGCUAAUACCACGGAGUAAUGACGGUACCUGAAGAAUAAGCACCGGCUAACUUCGUG
RNAcentral lists this ribosomal RNA (484 nucleotides) under uncultured bacterium. RNAcentral's name for it is "partial 16S ribosomal RNA". It matches the Rfam family "Bacterial small subunit ribosomal RNA", at positions 29 to 507 of the family's 1533-position model. The record is from RNAcentral.